This 69-nucleotide transfer RNA is filed under the name Ictidomys tridecemlineatus (thirteen-lined ground squirrel). RNAcentral's name for it is "Spermophilus tridecemlineatus (thirteen-lined ground squirrel) tRNA". It matches the Rfam family "tRNA". From Rfam's summary of the family: Transfer RNA (tRNA) molecules are approximately 80 nucleotides in length. Their secondary structure includes four short double-helical elements and three loops (D, anti-codon, and T loops). The record is from Rfam by way of RNAcentral. Lineage: Eukaryota; Metazoa; Chordata; Mammalia; Rodentia; Sciuridae.
GGGGUUAUAGCUCAAUGCUAGAGCACUCACCUGGCAUGUGUGAGGCCCUGGGUUCGAUCCUCAGCACCA